ACCUUGCUGUUUGCAUCAGGAGCAAACUUGUCUGCAAUGAUGACAUCGGUUGGUAAUAAAAGGGAUACUCCUUUAGCCUUGGCCUUCUCAAGGAGGGAGGUCGCUAGUUCUAGCUUAUCCUCUUCCACCAAAGAUGAACCAACGGAAAGUCCCUGUGCCUUGUAAAAUGUAAAGAUCAUUCCACCACCGAGGAGUAGGAUGUCACAUUUUUCUAGAAGUGACUCAAUCACUCCAAUCUUUGAAGAAACCUUUGAACCACCAACAAUAGCAGCAAAUGGCCUCUUCGGGCUUGACACGGCCCCCACU
RNAcentral lists this long non-coding RNA (306 nucleotides) under Cucumis sativus (cucumber). RNAcentral describes it as "long non-coding RNA (CSAT_LNC002270)". The record is from RNAcentral. Lineage: Eukaryota; Viridiplantae; Streptophyta; Magnoliopsida; Cucurbitales; Cucurbitaceae.